CAUGAUCAUUGUCUUCCGGCCAGACUUAGAAACUAGCAAGCUGUCUCCCGAGAGGAUGAAUUGGUGAAGUUGAAACGCUCCAGGAACUGUUGCUUCUCUCUAACCAACGGAGGUGACGGCAGAUUUGAUGGUGAGGCGAGGAAGUGAGGAGUGACGGCGGCGAGGGGGAGGAGGAUUCGACGGUAUAAAGUUCGGCGAGACCUGUGUAGACCCAGAAAAAAAUAGUCAAGACAAAUCGAAACCCAAACCUAAAAACCCCCAAAUCAAAACCCUAAGAAAGAAUUAAAAAGAGAAAGUGAACGACGAAGAUUGGAGGUUUGUCAGGUGGAAGCCAUUAAAAAAUUGACCGGCAAACACGACGGAGGAGAGAUGGAGCUGAAGAGAGGAUGAGUUCGAGAGAGAGAGUGGAGAAAAGACUCCAGUUUAUGAUUAUGAGAAACAAUACAAAGCCGUUUAGGUGAAUCUGACAAGUGUUUUGGUGGCAAAAUAUUUAUUUUUUCCAAGUGUUGGAGUCUACGCCUAGCAAAUUAAUAUGGCAAAAAAAAAUAUUUUCCCACAGUAACAAAUAUAGCGUUUUAAAUUAACAAACGCUAUAGAAAAAGUAAGUGUUGGUAUACAAUAGCAGAACUGUCAUAAACGCUAUAAUUUGAUGCUAUUAAUACUCAUAUUUCAUGUAAUGUAAGAGCCUGUGUACUUGAUUGGGAAGGAAAAUGGGGCCAGUUUCUACCAUUGGCAGAGUUUGCCUACAACAAUAGCUAUCAUUCGAGCAUUGGAAUGUCUCCAUAUGAGGCUCUAUAUGGGAGACCAUGUCGAACUCCACUAUGUUGGACAUAAGUGGAGGAGAGACGAGAUUUAGAGCCGGACAUGGUUAAGGAAACCAUAGAGCAGGUGGAAUUGAUCAAGUCUAGACUGAAAGAGGCUCAUGAUCGGCACAAGAACUAUGCUGACCAGAGGAGAAAAGCUUUGGAGUUUGAAGUAGUAGAUGAAGUAUACUUCAAAAUGAGAACCUACCGAGUACCGCAAGUUGAAAAAUUUGAAGCCAAGAUUUUUAGGACCGUAUCGCAUCAUUGAGAGGAUUGGAGCAGUAGCAUAUCGACUUGAGUUACCGCAUGAGUUAUCGGAUAUCCACAAUGUGUUUCAUGUGUCAGUUCUAAGAAAAUUUGUUCGGGAACCAGAGUUGAUUUUACAGCAACCACCAUGUUAGUCGCAAUUUAACAGCUCAAAGCAAACCAGUUAAAGUUUCAGAGAUUAAAGACAUGGAUGUCCAAGGGAAAGUGACCAUGAUGAUCCGUGUGAGCUGGGAAAGAGAUGGAAUAUGUGAGGAGACUUGGGAGCCAGAGUCACAGAUGAGAUCAUUUUACCCAGAGUUGUUUUCGAGUGUUGAGGUACCAGCGGAGGUUGACGUGAAUUCGGGGGCGAAUUCUUGUUUAGUGGGGGAGAGUUGUCAUAUCCCGGGCCCGAGCCCAAUUUUUAAUGACAAGGCCCGCAAUGAUUUGGCCCAUGUAGAGAAAACCCUAGGGUUUUCCCCUUCCUCUUCUAUAAAAAGGAGGCCGCCCUUAGGUAUUUCUCCACAAAGUCAAAACACAGCGAAGCCCUACCCAUUUGGAGAGAGAGCAGCCGCCGGCCACCUAACCUCCACCGGAGCCACCACGAGUCACCGGAGCACCGCCGGCGACCGUGUAAUCUCACCGGAGAGGAGAUCUCGCCGUGUUUCGAUCCCUUAUCGUCGUUUUCUUGACUAUUUUUCUUCUAGAUCCAGCAACUAGUGAGGAUGAAAUUGAAGAUAACUUGAUUACACAGGCACAAAGCGUAAUCCACACAGUGAUACAUAACAAAUAUAAUAUGCAAUUUAUGUGAACAAUAUGCAAUUUUUUUCUCAUGGGUUUGCUUAAUUUAGAGAAAUAUGCAAUUUUGCUAAAGAAA
This is a long non-coding RNA of Brassica napus (rape), 1923 nucleotides long. RefSeq lists it as uncharacterized. NCBI's taxonomy places the organism in Eukaryota, Viridiplantae, Streptophyta, Magnoliopsida, Brassicales, Brassicaceae. The transcript has 2 exons. The record is from RefSeq and is a predicted model, not a curated record.